Long non-coding RNA from Ipomoea triloba (trilobed morning glory), 2346 nucleotides. RefSeq lists it as uncharacterized. Lineage: Eukaryota; Viridiplantae; Streptophyta; Magnoliopsida; Solanales; Convolvulaceae. The record is from RefSeq and is a predicted model, not a curated record. The transcript is spliced from 4 exons.
GUUAACUGUAAAGUUUAAACUGAACGUCAAUGUUCUACCAAUUAUUUUGGGGGACCGAAAAGAUCGGAUAUAACCCCCAAAACUGUAAAGAGCACUAUCUUGCCCGGUAAAAAGAAAAAAGCUAUCUUUGCUUUGAUGUGCAGUGUAUAACGACUUCCCUUCUCUGCUUUUUAGUUGUUACGGUAAUACAUAUACAUGAUUUAAUGGCAAGAUGUUCUCUGUUUCCAAAUGUCAAAGAUGGUAAAUUUUUUUCCUGAAGAUGCUUGCUUGCACGCCAUCUGCAACUCAAUUAUAUACAUGGUUUGAUGACAGAUGAUGAGAUUUGCUGAGGUUCAAUCAGGAAGGAAACGUAUCUGGGAAAUAAAUGCAGGGAUGAACUCCAUAGUGAUUCAAGCUGCAAGUAUUUGUCUUUGGCUGGCAUACAGGAAUGAUUGGUGCUAGUUUUGAUGUCAAAAACUAUGGUGUAAAAGCUGAUGGAAAUCAGAUGAUAGUCAGGCUAUCAUUAGCGCUUGCAAGUAUCCUAAUGAACAACCUGUUGCUGGGAUUUCAAUGAGGAGUUGCUCCCUCUUGAAUACAAUGAACAUAGUAAGGAUCAAGAUUUGACUGGCUUCUCCAGAUGGUGUUUCCUGUAAAGUGAACUUUGAAUACACCAUCAUAGACAACGUCAGCACAUCUAGCAUACUAUCCUGACAGAUCAAUGGUAUGUUUUUCAAAGUUGCGCCUAACUCUUGUUUAUUGAAUAACCUGAUUGGUGUAAUAUGCAAAUAACUUUUUUUUUUUUUGAAGUUUCCUUCAAGGGUUCAGAUCAGUGAUAAUAGCUUUAGGAACAUUCAGGUCAAUUGGCAACAAAGGUAGAACUGAAACAUCAAUUUGGCUUACCAUGGAAACAAUGUCAAGCCCUUUCUCUCCUGCCAUGACAUCAACUUCUUAAUUAUUUUUUUUACUAAUAGUUCACGAAUUAUUGCUGCUAUUGCACAUGUGCACGAGUAGUUCGCUGGUAUAAUUGUGAGAGUUUACAACAUAUAUGUGUAUAUAGAGGCACAAGAUAGCCAUUCCCUUCAUACUGUAUCCAUGAAUCAUGAUGAGUUUAUUGAGUGGUGAAGUAUGUAUUGUAUAUGCAACAAUCAAACGACCUGAAUAAUACAAUACAAUUCUCACCAAAUGGAAGGACCAAUAUAUUGUAUAUGACAGAAAAAAUGGGGAAUCUGAAUGGGGUAUAUCCUCUUACAAAAGCAUAAAUUAAUUAAUUCAAUGUGUGACAAAAGUUUACAGGAAGAAGGCAGCAGAUCCACCCACCAUUGCCAAGAUCAGGUUGAGAGGACUCAAGCUCAUAAUCUUGUGGGAAGAGGAUGGAGGUGAAGAAGUUGGAGAUGUUGAGUCGCCACUGAUGCCUUUGUCAGAAGCUGGAGCAUCUGCAGCAGGGGCAAUGUCUGGAGAUGGUGCUGGUGCCGGGGUGGGGGGAAUAUCUGUCCCAAAGAUGGCUUCGGGAAGGAGAACUUUGUCCACCUGAUAAAUGGCAACGGGGUAAGUUGCAUGCACUGCACUGCUAAUUUUGGUACUGGUCCAUCCAGAGUUGAGGUGCACAGUCCCAGACACAUCAGUGAAAUUCAGGGCACUAAGUUGUCCACCCGCAAAGGUACUGAUAGGACCGACUUGGCUGAGGUUUCUGAAGUCGGAGAGCGAGUAGUAAUGUGGCAACGCAUGGUAAAGGAAGACAGAUUUGAGCUGGUCAGCGGUGAGAUUAGAGAGUGACUGCUUCGUUGUCUUGGAGAAGGCAUCAUCCUUGGGCACAAAGAGAGUAAGCCCUUCUUCAGUGUUGUUGGCUUGGUUUUGGAAAGUUUCCGCUACUUUGGUGGUCUCAAUGUAGUUAAGGAAAGUGUGGAAAGGUCCAGCAACAGAUAGCAAAUCUGUUAGAUUCACAAAGUCUGGGGCUGGCGCAGGCGCGGGAGACAGAGAAAUGCUUUGGGCAUUCACUGCCGGCAUCGAGCAAGAAAAGAUCAGCAGACUAGCAAUCACAAACACAAAAUUGUAAUCCAUCUUACAGGUUGUACUUCCCCAAUCCCCAUGUUACUCUUAAUAAUACAGCAUUCGAUGUAACAAAUGGGGGACCGAACACAAACGAUUGCAUAAUGGAGAAGUGAUGUGGCCUUCCUUGGAUACCUACUGGUCAAUUGCCAAUUCACUGUUUGAUUGGUAGAUUGCCAGCUCAUAUGCUUGCCGAAAUGAUUUUCUCAUGGCCGGUAGCCGUGGGAAUAAUAUUACAUUCGUUUUCAUAUUUUAUUUUAUUUUUCAUUUAUACUGGUAUUAUAUCUUCUUAUUGGUCGAUAAAAAAGAAGUGAGUUACAA